GAGGUAAGAACAGAUGCUUACAGAGAUGCCCUUUUGGACAAUCCUAGCCUAAUGAAUGGAGCAACUGUACUGGAUGUUGGUUGUGGUACAGGAAUUCUAAGUCUUUUUGCAGCGAAGGCUGGUGCAUCUAGAGUUGUUGCGGUUGAUGGGAGUGCAAAGAUGUCUUCUGUGGCUACACAAGUAUUCAAAAAAAAUGGUUUAUUAUAUGAUGAGAAUGGGAAAACGGAACAAAAAGGUAGCCCUCAAGUGAUAAGUGUUGUGCAUACCAAGGCUGAAGAGCUAAACCAUAAAGUUGUAGCUCCGCCGAAUGGCUUUGACGUGUUAGUGAGUGAGUGGAUGGGAUAUUGCCUAUUGUAUGAAUCCAUGCUCAGUUCAGUUAUAUAUGCACGUGCCCAUUUCCUAAAACCUGGUGGUGCUAUUCUACCGGAUACUGCAACAAUUCUUGGUGCUGGUUUUGGGAGGGGUGGAACUAGCUUGCCAUUUUGGGGAAAUGUGUAUGGCUUUGAUAUGUCAUGUAUUGGCAAAGAAGUAACAGGGAGUUCGGCUCGAUUUCCUGUAAUUGAUGUACUUGAUUCUAAGGAUAUUGUGACAGAUACUGCUGUACUCCAUUAUUUUGAUCUGGCAACUAUGAAGGAAAGUGAAAUGGAUUUCACCGCGAGCUUGGAGCUAAGGCUUCCUGAAAGUGGUGCAGCUGCUAUACCAGGAGUAACCUGGUGCCAUGGCAUUGUCUUGUGGUUUGACACUGGCUUCACCGACAGAUUCUGCAAGGACAAGCCUGUGGACCUGUCCACCUCUCCUUUCUCCACACCAACUCACUGGUCGCAAACAAUCUUCACCUUUGAAGAGCCCAUAGCGAUUACAAAUGGGAAAUCAGUCGUUGGCUCAUCUGCAUCAGUUGGCUCAGCGGAGUGCCCAGCUGCCUCGAUCAGAUCGCGCAUCAGCACCGUGAGGGCCUCUGAGCACCGCAGCAUAGACAUAUCAAUCGUAACCACGGGAAUCAGCUCCGAUGGCCGGAAGCGCAGCUGGCCAGCUCAGAUCUUCAACCUUUGA
This 1050-nucleotide ribosomal RNA is filed under the name Triticum aestivum (bread wheat). Its description in RNAcentral is "partial small subunit ribosomal RNA". Lineage: Eukaryota; Viridiplantae; Streptophyta; Magnoliopsida; Poales; Poaceae. The record is from RNAcentral.